This 380-nucleotide RNase P RNA is filed under the name Acidobacteriota bacterium. Its description in RNAcentral is "Acidobacteria bacterium RNase P RNA component class A". It matches the Rfam family "Bacterial RNase P class A". Rfam says of the family: Ribonuclease P (RNase P) is a ubiquitous endoribonuclease, found in archaea, bacteria and eukarya as well as chloroplasts and mitochondria. The record is from RNAcentral. Lineage: Bacteria; Pseudomonadati; Acidobacteriota.
GGAGUCGGCUGGGUAAUCGCGGUUCCUUAAGGGGACCGAGGAAAGUCUGAACUCCACAGGGCAGUGUGCCUGGUAACACCAGGGAGGGGCGACCCUACGGAAAGUGCCACAGAAAACACACCGCCCCUGUUUUAACGCGGGGGUAAGGGUGAAAAGGUGCGGUAAGAGCGCACCGCGCAACUGGUAACAGUUGUGGCAGGGCAAACCCCACAUGGAGCAAGGUCAAAUAGAAAGGCGCUCCCGCAAGGGAGAUUAGGACGGCCCGUCCGAUGCCUUCGGGUAGACCGCUAGAUCCCGGGAGUAAUCCAGGGACCAGAUGAAUGAUUACCGUUUCCGCUCGCGCGGAAAUACAGAAUUCGGCUUACAGGCUGGCUCCGGCA